GGGGGCGUUACGGAUUCGACAGGCAUUGUCGCGCAUGAACUGCAACUGCUGAGGGAUCAGGAUAAUCAUCCGCAGAUAAAUAUAACUGCUAAAAAUAAUACACAAACUUACGCAAUGGCAGCCUAAACAGCACCAUGCGUGCCUGAUUUUUGCUCACUGAUGGCAAUUUGACGGCCUAAACUUUUAGUCAGAUACGUUGUUGUGGAGGCUUGACGCAGCAAAAGAGAUUUAAAGCCCCGCAAAAUGUCG
This 249-nucleotide transfer-messenger RNA is filed under the name ant fungus garden metagenome. Its description in RNAcentral is "transfer-messenger RNA Lacto_lacti_NCD211". It matches the Rfam family "transfer-messenger RNA", at positions 1 to 265 of the family's 374-position model. From Rfam's summary of the family: Bacterial tmRNA, also known as 10Sa RNA or SsrA, is named for its dual tRNA and mRNA-like properties. The record is from RNAcentral.